CUAACACAUGCAAGUCGAACGGUAACAGGAAGCAGCUUGCUGCUUUGCUGACGAGUGGCGGACGGGUGAGUAAUGUCUGGGAAACUGCCUGAUGGAGGGGGAUAACUACUGGAAACGGUAGCUAAUACCGCAUAACGUCGCAAGACCAAAGAGGGGGACCUUAGGGCCUCUUGCCAUCGGAUGUGCCCAGAUGGGAUUAGCUAGUAGGUGGGGUAACGGCUCACCUAGGCGACGAUCCCUAGCUGGUCUGAGAGGAUGACCAGCCACACUGGAACUGAGACACGGUCCAGACUCCUACGGGAGGCAGCAGUGGGGAAUAUUGCACAAUGGGCGCAAGCCUGAUGCAGCCAUGCCGCGUGUAUGAAGAAGGCCUUCGGGUUGUAAAGUACUUUCAGCGGGGAGGAAGGGAGUAAAGUUAAUACCUUUGCUCAUUGACGUUACCCGCAGAAGAAGCACCGGCUAACUCCGUGCCAGCAGCCGCGGUAAUACGGAGGGUGCAAGCGUUAAUCGGAAUUACUGGGCGUAAAGCGCACGCAGGCGGUUUGUUAAGUCAGAUGUGAAAUCCCCGGGCUCAACCUGGGAACUGCAUCUGAUACUGGCAAGCUUGAGUCUCGUAGAGGGGGGUAGAAUUCCAGGUGUAGCGGUGAAAUGCGUAGAGAUCUGGAGGAAUACCGGUGGCGAAGGCGGCCCCUGGACGAAGACUGACGCUCAGGUGCGAAAGCGUGGGGAGCAAAC
This 735-nucleotide ribosomal RNA is filed under the name uncultured Pseudomonadota bacterium. RNAcentral's name for it is "bacterial SSU rRNA". It matches the Rfam family "Bacterial small subunit ribosomal RNA", at positions 48 to 773 of the family's 1533-position model. Lineage: Bacteria; Pseudomonadati; Pseudomonadota. The record is from RNAcentral.